CUCUCUCAGAAGAGGAUGUGGGCAGGACAGGCCCUUCCAGAUCACACAGGGCCACAUUCACUCUUGGUCUUUGUUCAAAGCAGAAGUGAAGUAAUUCUAAUUACUCCACACUUAAACAAAAGGUGAGAGCUAUGUUUUACUAAAAAUACACUUAAAUGGGGGUAGGCUGCCUAUUGGCCUCUUCGCAUGUGCACUGAUUUAUGAGUCAGAUUCACCGUUUGACAUCCGGGCUCUGAGACAUGAGACGCAGGAAAUAGGUUUCGGUCAGUGGAAGCAGAGCAGAAGGAGGUGGGCUCAGGGAGCUGGGACAGCGGACAGGGGCAGAGGGCCGGCGCCCUGCUGGGUGGCAGCAGCUGAAGGCACUUUUUCUCAUUUCACACCCUUUCCCGCGGUGGGCUCUGCCUCGUGCCUCACUUGCCUCGUGGGUAAAGUGGAAUGAGAGUGUGAGUAACGCCUGACCCUGACGAGCAGUGAGAGCUGCACAAAUUAGAUCAUGUCUCUAAAACCCGCACGGGAGGCUGGUCUAGGGGUGACCCACGCAAAUGAAAGUAAUAUUGUUAUGAAGUUUCAUCUUCAAGGAGAACAGUUACAUCAUGAUCAUUUCUUUCCCUAUUCAAUUAUGGCCAGCUGCUUCUUAGGAAAAAAAAAGGGACUGCAUUUACUGUAGGUCCUGCUUUGUAUUUGCCCCAAAUCCCAGCCACGUGUUUCUCCUGCUCGCAGUAGAGAGCCAUGGAAAUAGACAGCAUCAUAAAACAGAUAUUUCAAGGCUGUGUGAGCCCCGCCCCACCCUUUCUGGAAGGCGAGGCAUUGGCGACAUUUAACCACCUGUAGGGGCUGAGCUCCUUCACAGCUGCUGCUCCUUUUCUGAACAAACAGCCAAGCUCAGCUGGGAGGCGUCCUUAAAGGUCAGCUCCUCCUCCCUCUAAAGCUUGAAUUUCUCCCCAUGCAUCACUAGUUGUGCCUUUUUUUUCCUGCAAAACCAGUCACCACACUUGAAGCAGACUGAGCACCCACUGCCCAUGGGGUAGGAAGAGUGGUAAUACAAUGGCUGGAGGUCUGGCCCCAUGAGCUGGGUCCUCCUGUAGUAUUUUCAAGCUUGGAAAAGGUACAGCACUGAGAUAAGGGGAGGAAACCCUAGCCACAGAGGUGAUUUUGAUUUGGCUGUCUGGAUGCUGAAGAAUUCCUUUAUUUAUUUAUUUUUAGUCCUUGACGUUCAAUAAUGGCUCACUAUUACUUUGGUUUGAACAGAAGUUCGUUUUAAGAACCUUGAAGACAGAUUUGUGUCCUCCGCAAGUCAAAGUCAAGGCAGCUGCUUCUGGGGGCUGUAGCACCGCUGCUAGAACCAAGAGGUGAGGGCCGCAGAAGGCACCCUGCAAGGUCACUGCAGAUGCAGCUGAGGAGAGGAGUGUAGGGUCAUCUAGAAGAGGCAGCUCUGCCCCCAGGAGCGGGAGAUUUCACCAUCAGACUCCAGAAAUUCUGGUCCCAGAGGCAAGAUGUCCCUACUGUGAGCCUGAUGUUUAAACAUGAACUUCACCUGACUCCCCCUCUUCUGAUUUCAUGUCCUCAUGGCAAUUUUCUGGCGCCAGUGAAGGGCUGCUCAUGUAGAGAGAGAAUGCAAAAAAAAAAAAAAAAAAUACAGAUUUUAAAUAUUUCUGAGUCUCUCACAGUGAUUUCUCAGGGUAAUGAGUGGCUUCUGAUUACCAUUUGGUUUUCCCAGGCUACAGGGAGAAAAGGAGAUUGUUAUGCCAACCUGAAUAAUUCCAGUCUGUGUGACAAUUCUAUUUCUCACUUUAAAUUAAUAUAUUGCCAGCCUGAUGCCUUCCCCAGGUCUUCUGCACAUUUUAAUGGUGUCCUUGUUGUGGUCUUGCUUGUCUCAGAUCGACCUGUUCUUUUGAAAAGCCAGAUACAAAAGCAUAGAAGCAAGGGUUGAAGAAUCAGCAUUUGAAUUUCAGAAUGCUCGAGAGAAGGAGAUUUUGUUGAAGUUGGGUGACUUAACAAACCGACUUAACGAGCACUGUGUUUAUUUUGCGUAAACAUAAUCCCAG
This is a long non-coding RNA of Equus caballus (horse), 2045 nucleotides long. The record is from Ensembl. NCBI's taxonomy places the organism in Eukaryota, Metazoa, Chordata, Mammalia, Perissodactyla, Equidae.